RNAcentral lists this ribosomal RNA (301 nucleotides) under uncultured bacterium. RNAcentral's name for it is "partial 16S ribosomal RNA". It matches the Rfam family "Bacterial small subunit ribosomal RNA", at positions 509 to 807 of the family's 1533-position model. The record is from RNAcentral.
CAGUAGCCGCGGUAAUACGAGGGGUGCAAGCGUUAUUCGGAUUGACAGGGUGUAAAGGGUGUGCAGACGGCUUAUUAAGUCACUUGUUAAAUUCUUCGGCCUAACUGAAGGUCUGCAAGUGAUACUGAUGAGCUAGAGGGUGGAAGAGAGAAGUGGAAUUCUCGGAGUAGCGGUAAAAUGCGUAGAUCUCGAGAGGAACACCAAUGGCGAAGGCAGCUUCUUGGUCCAUUCCUGACGUUCAUACACGAAAGCGUGGGGAGCAAACAGGAUUAGAUACCCGGGUAGUCCCUGUCUCUUAUAC